AAACCCCUACGCGUAAUGAAAGUGAACGCAGGUGAGAGCUUCGGCGCAUCAUCGACCGAUCCUGAUGUUCUCGGAUGGAUUUGAGUAAGAGCAUAUAGGGUUGGACCCGAAAGAAGGUGAACUAUGCGUGUAUAGGGUGAAGCCAGAGGAAACUCUGGUGGAGGCUCGCAGCGGUUCUGACGUGCAAAUCGAUCGUCAAAUAUGCGCAUGGGGGCGAAAGACUAAUCGAACCUUCUAGUAGCUGGUUUCCGCCGAAGUUUCCCUCAGGAUAGCAGUGUUGAACUCAGUUUUAUGAGGUAAAGCGAAUGAUUAGGGACUCGGGGGCGCUAUAUUGCCUUCAUCCAUUCUCAAACUUUAAAUAUGUAAGAAGCCCUUGUUACUUAAUUGAACGUGGGCAUUCGAAUGUAUCAACACUAGUGGGCCAUUUUUGGUAAGCAGAACUGGCGAUGCGGGAUGAACCGAACGCGAGGUUAAGGUGCCAGAGUAGACGCUCAUCAGACACCACAAAAGGUGUUAGUACAUCUUGACAGCAGGACGGUGGCCAUGGAAGUCGGAAUCCGCUAAGGACUGUGUAACAACUCACCUGCCGAAUGUACUAGCCCUGAAAAUGGAUGGCGCUCAAGCGUCUCACCCAUACCUCGCCCUCAGUGUAGAAACGAUGCGCUGAGGAGUAGGCGGACGUGGAGGUCAGUGACGAAGCCUAGGGCGUGAGCCCGGGUAGAACGGCCUCUAGUGCAGAUCUUGGUGGUAGUAGCAAAUACUUCAAUGAGAACUUGAAGGACCGAAGUGGGGAAAGGUUCCAUGUGAACAGCGGUUGGACAUGGGUUAGUCGAUCCUAAGCCAUAGGGAAGUUCCGUUUCAAAGGGGCACUUGUGCCCCGUAUGGCGAAAGGGAAGCCGGUCAAUAUUCCGGCACCUGGAUGUGGGUUUUGCGCGGCAACGCAACUGAACGCGGAGACGACGGCGGGGGCCCCGGGCAGAGUUCUCUUUUCUUCUUAACGGUCUAUCACCCUGAAAUCGGUUUGUCCGGAGCUAGGGUUUAACGGCCGGAAGAGCCCAGCACUUCUGUUGGGUCCGGUGCGCUCUCGACGUCCCUUGAAAAUCCGCGGGAAGGAAUAAUUCUCACGCCAGGUCGUACUCAUAACCGCAGCAGGUCUCCAAGGUGAACAGCCUCUGGUUGAUAGAACAAUGUAGAUAAGGGAAGUCGGCAAAACAGAUCCGUAACUUCGGGAUAAGGAUUGGCUCUAAGGGUUGGGUACGUUGGGCUUUGGGCGGACGGCUCGGGAGCAGGUCGCCACUAGCCGGG
RNAcentral lists this non-coding RNA (1305 nucleotides) under Colletotrichum chlorophyti. Its description in RNAcentral is "Eukaryotic large subunit ribosomal RNA". It matches the Rfam family "Eukaryotic large subunit ribosomal RNA", at positions 704 to 2015 of the family's 3401-position model. The record is from Rfam by way of RNAcentral. Lineage: Eukaryota; Fungi; Ascomycota; Sordariomycetes; Glomerellales; Glomerellaceae.